RNAcentral lists this ribosomal RNA (465 nucleotides) under uncultured bacterium. RNAcentral's name for it is "partial 16S ribosomal RNA". It matches the Rfam family "Bacterial small subunit ribosomal RNA", at positions 338 to 795 of the family's 1533-position model. The record is from RNAcentral.
CCUACGGGUGGCAGCAGUGGGGAAUAUUGCGCAAUGGGCGAAAGCCUGACGCAGCGACGCCGCGUGAGGGAUGAAGGUCUUCGGAUCGUAAACCUCUGUCAGCAGGGAAGAACGGUCACUGUGCUAAUCAGCAGUGAAUUGACCGUACCUGCAAAGGAAGCACCGGCGAACUCCGUGCCAGCAGCCGCGGUAAUACGGAGGGUGCGAGCGUUACUCGGAAUUACUGGGCGUAAAGCGCUCGUAGGCGGUAUGUCAAGUCAAGGGUGAAAGCCCCGCGCUCAACGUGGGAACUGCCUUUGAAACUGGGAAACUGGAGUGGGUGAGAGGAUAGUGGAAUUCCAGGUGUAGGAGUGAAAUCCGUAGAUAUCUGGAGGAACAUCAGUGGCGAAGGCGACUAUCUGGCACAUAACUGACGCUGAGGAGCGAAAGCGUGGGUAGCAAACAGGAUUAGAUACCCUAGUAGUC